CGUGGUGAGACUCCGCUUUGAUGAGGCCCCUGUUCAACUCUCGAGGUCUUCUCAGGUUUCGAGUGCGAGUGCCAAGUCCCAUCGCGGAGGAGAGGGAGAGCUAUUACUCCAACGCAACCAAGGCCCGGGACCAGACGCGGCGCCGCAGUGCCAUGCCUGCGACCAACCGCAGCAAGCCAGCCAUGGAGCUCUACCGCCCACCCACACUCCGAGGACCCGGCAUUUUCGACAACGCGAACGGCGACGCAGUCUACAACGGCAAAGUGGCCUCGAACGGCGGCUACCACGAGAGCAAGUCCGGCCUCAACGUGAACGCCCGCGAGUUCGUCUCCGUGAACACCGCCCGGCCGCCGCUGCAACACUCCAAGUCCUCCAGCAGCGUCCCUCUGCAGGGACGACACGACGGGCUGCAGCACUCCAAGUCCGGCAGCAACCUUCGUCAGAGCAGUAACGGGGAGGUGCGGCCCCCGAGCGGUUCCCCCCCCAGGGUACACUUCAGCGACGACAAGGAGAAUGACCCACAGCUCAAGAUCUCCCGCCCUCCUUCCCUGGCCGUGGGGGCACUGAGCCAACCGGGCAUCAAGCGAUCGAAGUCCCUCGGAUCAGCUGAUCUGCGCGCGACCCAGCUGUUGGAGGCGUCGACCCCGCCCGCCGCCAUGCCUGACCUGGGGCCAUUCUCACCCGACGUCCAGGGCGCCAUCACCAAGGCCAUGACAGACCCGAACAGUGUGAGCGCCCGCCAGCUGAUGGAGGUGGUUCGCCACGUGUUCACGCGCGUGGUCGAGGCUUCGCGCCACGCGACCCGCGGCCAGGCUCUGCAUCUCGAUCAUUGAGAAAGAGAAGAACGAAACAUUCCUGGAGACGCUUCUGAACACGUGUCAGGAGUACUUCCAAGAGCGUGAUCGCCUCCUGAGGAACAACCCGCCAGCCCCUUACCCCGGCUUCGUCCCCGCGCACCCCAGGUGGAUCGCGUACAUGACCUUCCUCAAUGAGAUGUAUACGCAGCUCAAACGACGGCAUGUGCAGCUCAUGACGAAACGGAUGAGAAACAGUGAGACUCCAGCGGGACUCCUCCUCCUGACCCUCCUCUCACAGUGUUGCCAAGUUUGCCUCAAGGAAAACUCUGUGAAUAGUCUUGCAGAGACUGAAUGCUUAUUCUUCGUGCUGACGGGCCUGGGGAAGGACAUUGAAGUGGAACUCCCUCACCAGAUGGCUAAGGUAAUGGGAGCAGCCAGGGACGCCUUCCUCACCACUGUGCGAGUCCCUGCAGUGCGCAAGACCCUCCUGCAGUUGAUCGAGAUGCACGCGGCAAGGUGGCAGCUACCGGCACCAGCUGUUAUGUACUAUUAUCCAGGGUCGGGGAGUAAAUAAUGAAUUGUAAACGAAGUCUUUGGUUUUGUGGGUCCCAGAUGCAUUGUUUCCUUUUUUUAUAUAUAAAAUCUGGUGCCAAAGGUGUUUUUGUUAUGGAAGGAAAAGACUUCGUAUAGAAGGAAGGGAAAAUAAUUGCCAUGUUUGGGUAAUUGACAUGUUAAUGUUACUUGUUAUUCGCUUGGCCAAAGAAUAUUCUUUUCUUGAAAGAUAACACAAACAACCCCGGUCUUAGCGGUGACAUUAACAGGAAAAUAUUCUUUCAAACAAGUGCCGUAACUUGGCACUCCUGGCCUAGUCAUCCUUGUUUGCCAUGUCAAGAAACAGAAUCAAUCUCAAAACAACUGCAAGAAAAUUGGUUGUUUGACUACAUAUGGAGCUUGAUGACAUUAUUAAACUCUUCUCAUCAUACAGACUCUGCUCUGGAAUAUGAAUGUAUAUCUUUGGUUUCACUGUCGAAAUUUAAGGCUGUUAAUCAAAGCAUUACAUCAAACAACACUGAGCUUUGGCUGUUUUCUGUCACUUGUCCAAAUCUUCCCAAAACACUGGCUUUUUUACAUUAUCAAGAACAUAUGAAAGGAUUUUUUCAUCUCCAACUGACAGCAUGAUCACUACCCCAUUUCUCUAAAGCAACAACAGACAAAAGUGCACAUUUACAGUGCUUAUUGCAAGACCCAAAGAGUUAUACAAAACUUGAUGAAGAAACGGGAGGCAAGCUACCCUUGUGCCAUGUUGUUGUGCUAGUUUACAGUACUCCACUGGGAUGACCUUCCUCAGUGGCUUUGAACCUGCCGCCAUACAGUGUACCGCCGCUCGCAUGUUGAGACUCACGGGACAAGGUUGCCUGUUAAGCAUGUCCCAAGGCAGAGGAGGUGUGCUCUGGGGGAACGCCCGCUGUUCCUCGUGAAACCUAAAGCUCUUUUGUGUGCACCAGAAGGAGGGAUGUCUUACUCUGACUCCUUUAACGAUCGACCGACGUUGAUAAAACGAUUCUCGAUACUUCUCUCGAGUGACAGCCCGUGCGGCAAGGCCCGGGCAGUCAUCCUCAAGGUAAUGAAGUGGCCAGCUGGAGGCAAGGAGAAGCCCGGAGGCUGUGGGUGUUCUCCGCGGUGCUCCCUCGACGGCUCUUCGUGCAGGGAGCUCACACGCCUCACUGCUUACAAGGUUCCCACACUCGCUGGAUCUGAGACAGGGGUGCUGGCAAACUUUUUGAAAAAAGAAAGAGCUGAUAAUUGUUCCUUAUCAAAGGAAAAUGCCUAGAAGGUGAAAUUAGUUGCACUGAAACACUUAGAAGGGGCCAGAAAUGCCAGCCUCGUAUAUCAUCAAAUGCACCAAUGACCUAGCUAGUGGUGCCAGGUCGUGAGAGUGCCAGAGAUGAGAAUUUUGGAAGUGGCCUCAAGGUCAUUUAGCUUAAUCAUUGAGACACAGGGACGUGCGUGUCUUGGCAGUUCUCUGCGGGUGUGGCAGCCCUCUCCAUGUGGCUCAAAGGCGGUCACUCUAACUGCUCUCUGCUCUACACCCCGGGCCCCUCUCCAGCUGUACCCAUGAGCUGUUCUCCUCCCUUUCCCCCUAAUCCAGCUGUGUCUUGUGACCAGCUGCGAUCGUCUUCCAGAAAGGAUCCAACUCCAAUGUGACAGCUUUCAGUUGGUUCACCUCCUGCAGUCCUUUCUCUUUCCUCUCCUUGCAAUGCCUUGCAAAAUUACAUGGAUCUUACUCCUUUUUGUGACCAGGAAGGACUGGACCUGCACUACAAGAGAAAAAAUGAUGUAAAAAUGAAAAGGAAUAUACUGAGUUGACUGGAUUCCUCUGAUAACAUCCAGAUCAACUGCAUUCUUUUGAUAACUGAUGAACAUUUUGUAUAAUUACAGAAAAGAACACUUUGUGAUAUGAUUUCUAUUAUUUUUUCCAGAUUUCUUUGUAUUCAUCAGUCAGUCAUUCUUUGCCUUUCAAUAUUAUGAAUUUAUUAUAGCUUUUGAAUCACGACUUACUGUAUUUCUUGUGUGCUGUUGUAUUCAGGAUACACUUGCAGCUGGAUGAGAUUU
Molecule: non-coding RNA, 3410 nt
Organism: Penaeus vannamei (Pacific white shrimp)
Lineage: Eukaryota; Metazoa; Arthropoda; Malacostraca; Decapoda; Penaeidae
Source: RefSeq, a predicted model, not a curated record